This 383-nucleotide ribosomal RNA is filed under the name uncultured bacterium. RNAcentral's name for it is "bacterial SSU rRNA". It matches the Rfam family "Bacterial small subunit ribosomal RNA", at positions 30 to 414 of the family's 1533-position model. The record is from RNAcentral.
AUUGAACGCUGGCGGCAUGCCUUACACAUGCAAGUCGAACGGCAGCACGGACUUCGGUCUGGUGGCGAGUGGCGAACGGGUGAGUAAUGUAUCGGAACGUACCUUUCAGUGGGGAUAACGUAGCGAAAGUUACGCUAAUACCGCAUAUUCUGUGAGCAGGAAAGCAGGGGAUCGCAAGACCUUGCGCUGAUUGAGCGGCCGAUAUCAGAUUAGCUAGUUGGUGAGGUAAAGGCUCACCAAGGCGACGAUCUGUAGCGGGUCUGAGAGGAUGAUCCGCCACACUGGAACUGAGACACGGUCCAGACUCCUACGGGAGGCAGCAGUGGGGAAUUUUGGACAAUGGGGGCAACCCUGAUCCAGCCAUGCCGCGUGAGUGAAGAAGG